This 500-nucleotide ribosomal RNA is filed under the name uncultured bacterium. Its description in RNAcentral is "partial 16S ribosomal RNA". It matches the Rfam family "Bacterial small subunit ribosomal RNA", at positions 30 to 523 of the family's 1533-position model. The record is from RNAcentral.
AUUGAACGCUGGCGGCAUGCUUUACACAUGCAAGUCGAACGGUAACAGGGUGCUUGCACCGCUGACGAGUGGCGAACGGGUGAGUAAUGCGUCGGAACGCACCGAGUAAUGGGGGAUAACGCAGCGAAAGCUGUGCUAAUACCGCAUACGCUCUGAGGAGGAAAGCGGGGGACCUUCGGGCCUCGCGUUAUUCGAGCGGCCGACGUCUGAUUAGCUAGUAGGUGAGGUAAGAGCUCACCUAGGCGACGAUCAGUAGCGGGUCUGAGAGGAAGGUCCGCAACACUGGGACUGAGACACGGCCCAGACUCCUACGGGAGGCAGCAGUGGGGAAUUUUGGACAAUGGGCGCAAGCCUGAUCCAGCCAUGCCGCGUGUCUGAAGAAGGCCUUCGGGUUGUAAAGGACUUUUGUCAGGGAGGAAAUCCUUAGCGCUAAUACCGUUGAGGGAUGACAGUACCUGAAGAAUAAGCACCGGCUAACUACGUGCCAGCAGCCGCCGUAA